RNAcentral lists this ribosomal RNA (107 nucleotides) under Sinocyclocheilus anshuiensis. Lineage: Eukaryota; Metazoa; Chordata; Actinopteri; Cypriniformes; Cyprinidae. The record is from RNAcentral.
AUUGGCAGCCAUAUCACCCUGCAGCCCAAGAUUGGUCACCCACUGAAGCUAAGCAGGGUUGAGUCUGGUCAGUACCUGGAUGGGAGAAAACUAGGCUGCUGCUGUUA